UUUAACAGGUGGGUUAAGUGUCUGAAAAACUCAAAAAGUCUGUGUUGUCUUAUCUUCUUCUUCCUUUGAUUAUCCCACAGGACUGGAGAUAAAUAACAACACAACAUCU
Non-coding RNA from Daucus carota subsp. sativus, 109 nucleotides. NCBI's taxonomy places the organism in Eukaryota, Viridiplantae, Streptophyta, Magnoliopsida, Apiales, Apiaceae. The record is from Rfam.